This 5167-nucleotide long non-coding RNA is filed under the name Sus scrofa (pig). RNAcentral describes it as "lncRNA (ENSSSCG00000061614.1)". Lineage: Eukaryota; Metazoa; Chordata; Mammalia; Artiodactyla; Suidae. The record is from RNAcentral.
UUCCUUGAGACCAAAAUUGUACCCAUGUCUCAGUUGUGCCCCAGGUUGGCAGGAGGCACCAGACUGGGCCUGUUUUCUUGGCCUCCAGGAGGCUCAGAUCCCUCUGCCUUGCCCGGGGCCUGGUACUGUCAGGAGGGAGCCAGGGUCUGGGAGACGAGGCUAGGAUAGAGGCAGGGAUGGGGGAUCCAAGAGGUGGCCCAGGGGUGGGCUGGAAGUGAGGUGGAGUCAUUGGAGGCCACUGCAGGUCCCAGAAGGUCACACAGCAGCUGGGGCAAGGGUCCCAACUUCCAGGACAUUGCGACCAAACCCCUUCCAUAGCUGUGUGCUGUGGACAAGGCCUUUCAAACAAUGCCACCCUCCCAGGGGGCUGCAGGAAUUCAGUGCUACAUGAAGCAAGCACAGUUCUCAGCUCCAGGCCCAGGGAAGGGGGCCCCCAGGAACAGGCACUGUGCUGCGAAGGGCUUCAAUCCUUACAAGAUGUCAUUUCACAGAUUAGGCUGAGGAAGCCAAGACUCUCUCCCCAAGAAGAGGCUCCUGAUUCUUCUCUCUGAGGGCACAGCUCCGCGCCAGCCUCCUCCACCCUCCAUCCUCUCUCAGCUCGCUCUGCAGAGCUCAUGGCUCCCAGAACCUUCAGUGGCUCCCUGCCACCUGCAGAACAAAGGACAGGCUCUCCUUUGGUGCUCUAGGCACCUGGAAAUCUGGCCACACCCUCCCUCCCAGCUCCCCUCUCUGUCCUCAGUGCCCAGAUGUGCCCGGUGCUCUGCCACCUGACUCUGUGCCCAGCCCUGUUGAAUCCCCUCCCUUCUCCAGACACCAUCCAGUGCCACCCCCUCCAGGAAGCCUGUGCAUUUCCUAGUUGAUGGGACUUUUGGAGAGGCUGUACUUGCAGCCUCUCCACUUACAGAGAAUUGGGGUUGGACCCACCAGGCCUAGGUAAAUCAUUCUGCCUCUUUGCUCCUCCCUUUUUCCAUCUGUAAAAUGGGAUUUGAGACCACUAGCUGCUCCAUUGACCUGUUGGAAGGAUGAGAAGAAGGCACAGAUGUGCAGUGAGCUCUGUCAUCUCCAAGUUCCAGACCUAGGAGAGGCCCUUCCCCACAUGGCCUCCACAUAACUGCCCCCUCUGGCCAAGAGGACUCUGCUUUGAGGGAGGGAGUGCCAGCCUCCCUAUCCCCAGUGAAAGGUGGGGUGGGUGUGCCACCAGGUUCUGGCCAAGGGAACAUCAGAGAGUCUACUGGGGCCUGUGGGGAAGGUUUCCUCCUUGAGAAGAGAGAGACAGCUCACUGCUUAGGGAGGCAGCCACCUCAGGGCACUUGGUAUCUGGGGCUGCAGUGACAUCAUUUCCAUGAGAGAAGGUGAGGAAUUUUCCAGCCAAGGGUGGAAAGUCAGCAAAUGCUGGGGUCUCUGCUACGGCACUGGGCUACUGAGUCCCCCUGGGGUUGGAGCUGAGACCAGAGUGUGAAGGUCAACCAUGUGGCAAUUGAGGGGAAGGAUGUUCCAGGUAACAGCCAGUGCAAAGACCCCAGGCAGGAAGGAGCUUAGUGUAUCCUGGGACCAGCGUGUUUGCAUGUGUUUGUGUGUGUGUGUGUGUGUUUGUGUGUACUUGUGCGGCUGGAGUAGGGAUAACAGCGGGGAGAGUGACAGGGAAGGACAUCAGGAAUGGCAGGGGCUCGAUGACACAGGACCUCACAGGCCACAGCCAGCCAGAUCUUUAGAUUUUAAUCAUUACCCCAACUUUUAUCAUAAAAAUGUCCCAAAAUUUGAGAAAUUGAAAAUAUAAAAUAAACACUCACAUAUAUAUAUUCCAUCUAGGUUCAACCACUUAACAUUCUGGCAUAUCUGCUAAGCAUCACAUAGAUGCACUUUCCUUCCCCUUAGCAUUUGAAGAAAACUGGAGGACUUCAUGUCUCCAGACUUCUGAAUGCUUGAUCAUGCCUCUCCUAAGAGCAAGGAUGUUUGCUGCAUAAGCACAUUACCAGUGUUACUAGGGAAAAGUAAAAUGAUUCCCUAAUUUUCAUCCAUAUUCAGAUUGACUCCUGAAUGUGUUUUGUAGCUGACUCUGCCUUCUUCCCUCCCUCCUUCCUUCCCUCAUUCCUUUCUUCUUUUUCCUGGAACCAGAAUCUAAUGAAGGUUUACUUGUUGCAUUUGAUGAUUAUUAUUUCAGAUUCUUUUCAGCUAGAACAGUCUUCCACCUGUUUCCCUGGACAUGGAUUCUGUAAAACGUUCAUUCACUCAACUACUCCAUUAAAUCAAGGUUUGUCCCACAUACAGCAAACAAGUCUUCAGUAUGUGACUUGGUGAAUUUGUACAGCUGUAAUCACUAGCCAGAUCAAGAUUGAGAACAUUCCCAGCCUCCCAGAAGUUUCCUGUCCUACUUCCAGGAGAUCCAGCCUAGCCCAAGGCAGCUGCGGGUCCAAGUCCAUUGCCACAGGUGGAUCUGGGGUGUCCUAGAGUUCCUGGGAGGUGAGGCCUCACCACCUUGUCUUGGGCAGGGCUGCUUCUGCUCAGCCUGAUGUCUGGUGGUAUCUCAGCUUCGGGUGGACACACUCUCCUCUUGUCCCAUCAGGGUGACAUUUGGGGUGUGUCUGGCGACAGUGAGUAAGACGUUAACCCUCAUGAGGAGUCCAGGUCAGCUGUGGUGUCUGCUGGUUUCCUCGUGGUGUCACCUGAUAUGUCCUGAUUUCACAUGAACCGAAAUGCUUCGAUACACCAGAUCAGGACUUGGCAGGUGGGGAUCUGCCCUUUGUCUCACAUCCCACCCAGAGGCCCAGGAUGUCAGGUGGUCCCACUGUCCGUGACCUCAGGCGGGUCAGGUGGUGACCCCAGAGCUUUCCACAGUUAAGUUUUCACUUUCACAUCAGGGUCAGGGCAAAGACAGAACAGGGAGACCAGUAAGGAGGCUACUACAAUAGUCCAGGUGACUGAGCGUGGCAGUAGUGGUGCAGGGUGACAGUGGAGGGGAGCUGCGCUGCAGCCCCUGCAUGAGGAGUGCUCCCUCAAUGUCAGCUAGCCCAGGCUGAGCUUUCAGAAGGCAGAGGACAUGACCUGUGCACCUCCACAUUCCCAGCACCCAGUGCCCAUCCUGGGCCUGGCAGAAAAGGCAUCCCAAUCACACCUGGGUACACCUGAAUUGGGGGAAACAUGACUUUGGGGGUUUGAUGCUGCAAUAAAUAAACAGAACAAGAGUCUGACCCAGUUACCCAGCAGGCCUUGUAGCAGUUUCUGAUGAAUCACACUCUUAACCUUCUCCCCAAGCACUGUGAGUCACCAGGGAGGCCUCUGUCUUUAGGGAACAUUGACAUUGUCCCAGGGGAAAAACAAUGUCGACAACAGUCAGGUCUGCCUCUUGGGGACAGAAAGUUCCCAGUCUGGGACCUGGCUCUGCCAGGCUCCAGCUCUUCCCCCUACCCCACCCGCUGUGGUCCAGGGGGUGAGGCUCAGGCCCCUGCUUGGCAUCUUUACCUGGCAACCUGGAGGCAGCUACUGCCUGCAUCCCAUGGCUCAAGGUUAUCUGUGUCAGUUACCUGUCUCUGUGUAACAUGUUACCCCAAACAACAACAAACACUGGUUACAGCUGGUGUUUUCUCUGGGCCAGAAACUCUAGAGGAGCUGAGCUGGUGCUUCUGGUCUUCAGCCUCUUGUGACAGAGCUGUCAGGGUGUUAUCAGCUGGGACUGCUGUCAUCAGAAGGCUUGACUGGGGCUGGAGGCUCUGCUUUUCCUGUCAGCCAACUCACAGGGAUGGCAGUCAGUACUAGCUGCUGCUGGGAGACUCAGCUCCUUUGCACAGGCUGCCGCCCCCACGGUGGCGGGCCUCCCCAGAGGAAAUGGCCCCAGAGUGGGGCGGAAGCUGCAAUGCCAUGUGACUUAACCUCGGAAGUCACAUACCAUCAUUUCUGCAAUAUCCUAUCAGUUACACAGCACUGCUUGGUGGGAGUGGCUGUGAGUGGUGAACAUCAGCUGGUGAGGCUCUCUGGGACCUGCCUUAGAGUCACACAGGCAGUUGAUUGCAAUGAGCAGGGGGGACCUUCUGUGUACUUGCCUACCUGCCAGUCAUCCUGUGUGCCAGGCCCUGGGCUAGGGCCUUGGCAUGCAGUGGUGAGGAAAGCAGAGAAAAACACCAUUCAUUCAGGGGUUUCCUUAGGUGUGCAAGCCCCAUGGGCUAUGCAGGGAUGAACAAGAUUAGCAAGGGCCUCACACACCAGUCAGGGCCUCACAUACACAGAUGAUGUGCCAGGAGCACAGGGACAAAUUGCAAGGGGCCCUUAGAGAGAGAGAAAGCUCCUGGCUCAGGAAUAAUCAGGGAAGGCCCCAGGAGGAGGUGGCGUUUGAACUAGUUUUUACAUCCAUAACUAGGUAGGUGGGGAACAGUAUCACACAGGGGUCAGGCCAGAUGUGGGGUCAGGCCCAUGCCUCCUGAGACACGCCUCCCCCCCAGACUCUUACGUGACACAAAGCAAUUCAUAUGCGAUAUUGUGUGCCAUGGCCUGAGCUGGCCACUGGGAUCCAGCAGUGGAUGAAACAGACUUCAUGGUGCUGAAAAUUUUGGUCCUAUGUCAGAGAGAGGGUCUGGAGCUUCCCCUCUAGUAAAAUACUUUUACUAUUUUGCUAAUAGUAAAAGUAGCUCUAUUAGGCCAAGCAACGUCCACGCGUCAUCUGACUGUAGUGGGCACCGUCAUAUCUCUGUUUGACAGAUGAGGAAAUGAAGCCCAGGCCUGGAUGGACUGGCCCAGGUCAGAGAAUCAGGCCAAUUUCCAGGCCUCAUAAGUGGGUGCUAGCCCCAGAGAAUGCGGGCGAGCGCCUUUGCCUGGCUCUCUGGAAUGUGCUGGGCUGAGGGUGCUGGUCUCCCUUCCCCACCCGCAGAAGACCCUCAGGCUGGGGGGCCUCCCAAUGUGGGAGGAGGCCUGUGAAGUUGUGUGGUCAGCCUCUCUCCUCAAGAUCAACCUUAUUUGAAUUCCCAUUUUGGUGCAGCGGAAACGAAUCUGACUAGGAACCAUGAGGUUGUGGGUUCGAUCCCUGUCCUCACUCAGUGGGUUAAGGAUACAGUGUUGCCGUGAGCUGUGGUGUAGGUUGCAGAUGUGGCUCGGAUCCUGCGUUGCUGUGGCUGUGGUGUAGGCUGGCAGCUGUAGCUCCAGUUGGACCCCUAGCCUAGAAACUCCAUGUGCCAUGGGU